RNAcentral lists this ribosomal RNA (348 nucleotides) under Propionibacteriaceae bacterium. Its description in RNAcentral is "partial 23S ribosomal RNA". It matches the Rfam family "Bacterial large subunit ribosomal RNA", at positions 2579 to 2925 of the family's 2925-position model. Lineage: Bacteria; Bacillati; Actinomycetota; Actinomycetes; Propionibacteriales; Propionibacteriaceae. The record is from RNAcentral.
GUUCGCCCAUUAAAGCGGCACGCGAGCUGGGUUUAGAACGUCGUGAGACAGUUCGGUCCCUAUCCGCUGCGCGCGUAGGAAUCUUGAGAGAGGCUGUCCUUAGUACGAGAGGACCGGGAUGGACAAACCUCUGGUGUGCCAGUUGUCCUGCCAAGGGCACGGCUGGUUGGCUACGUUUGGAAGUGAUAACCGCUGAAAGCAUCUAAGCGGGAAGCACGUCUCAAGAUAAGGGUUCCCACAGAGUUAAUCUGGUAAGGCCCCCGGAAGACCACCGGGUCGAUAGGUCGGACGUGGAAGCACCGCAAGGUGUGAAGCUGACCGAUACUAAUAGGCCGAGGGCUUGAACAC